AACGAACGCUGGCGGUAUGCCUAACACAUGCAAGUCGAACGAGAGCUUCGGGACUAGUGGCUCACGGGGGCGUAGCGUGUGGGAAGCUGCCCUUAGGCACGGAAUAACUCUCCGACAGGGGUGCUAAUACCGGGAAACUUCCUCUAAUACAACAUUUAACGCCCUUGGAUGAGCCCGCGUUGUCUUAGCCAGUUGGUAGGGUAAGAGCCUACCAAGGCGACGAUCCAUAGCUGGUCUGAGGGGCUGAGCAGCCACACUGGGACUGAGACGCGGCCCAGACUCCUAGGGGAGGCAGCAGUGCGGAAUAUUGGACAAUGGGCGAAAGCCUGAUCCAGCAAUGCCGCGUGAGUGAUGAAGGCCUUAGGGUAGUAAAGCUCUUUUACACGGGACGAUAAUGACAGUACCGGGAGAAUAAGCACCGGCUAACUCCGUG
Molecule: ribosomal RNA, 433 nt
Filed under: uncultured bacterium
Lineage: Bacteria
Description: partial 16S ribosomal RNA
Rfam family: Bacterial small subunit ribosomal RNA
Source: RNAcentral